RNAcentral lists this ribosomal RNA (174 nucleotides) under uncultured bacterium. Its description in RNAcentral is "partial 16S ribosomal RNA". It matches the Rfam family "Bacterial small subunit ribosomal RNA", at positions 335 to 524 of the family's 1533-position model. The record is from RNAcentral.
ACUCCUACGGGAGGCAGCAGUGGGGAAUUUUCCGCAAUGGGCGAAAGCCUGACGGAGCAAGACCGCGUGCGGGAAGAAGGCCUGUGGGUUGUAAACCGCUUUUGAUAGGGAAGAAGUUCUGACGGUACCUAUCGAAUCAGCCUCGGCUAACUCCGUGCCAGCAGCCGCGGUAAU